Molecule: microRNA precursor, 102 nt
Filed under: Prunus dulcis (almond)
Lineage: Eukaryota; Viridiplantae; Streptophyta; Magnoliopsida; Rosales; Rosaceae
Description: sRNA ncRNA
Source: RNAcentral
UAAAAUAUAAUUAAACCGUAUAGCCGAGCGGCUAUACUAUUUAAAUAUUCGAAAAUACUUAAAGGGUACAGCCGUUCGGCUAUAUGCUUUAAAUAUUGGAAU